CAACACACACUGUAAAAAAUUUCUGUAAAUUUACAGCGUAUUAACAGCGUAAAUAUACAGUACUGAACUGUUUUGUAAAAUUACGGUGUCUUACCGUAAAUGCACACGUGAUCGGUGGGAGAGGGGGAACCAAACGGUAGCUGACGCAUAGAGGAGCAUGGUUUCAGUCAAAGUUUUAUGGAUUUCAUCUCAAGUUGACGCUCAUUUACAGGUUGCAGCAUCUGCAUCUGAUAUUGAGAAGACACUCAAUCUACCUGCCAAUCCUCAUCUGAUUUUGCUGGUCAACACUUUUGACUGCAGUUGCAACAGUGUUUGCUGUGUACUACAUCUUCAACCUGCAGUAUCAAGAGGCGGCUUGUUGCACGUAAGAAAGGUAAGUUUUUUUCAGUAUAUCAUCAUCUGAAACACUGCCAAAUGUGGUUUUAUUCGCAUGCCAGGCACGGAUAAAAUAGGAGAAAG
This is a long non-coding RNA of Carassius carassius (crucian carp), 459 nucleotides long. RefSeq lists it as uncharacterized. The record is from RefSeq and is a predicted model, not a curated record. NCBI's taxonomy places the organism in Eukaryota, Metazoa, Chordata, Actinopteri, Cypriniformes, Cyprinidae. The transcript is spliced from 4 exons.